UGGGGAAUAUUGCACAAUGGGCGAAAGCCUGAUGCAGCGACGCCGCGUGGAGGAUGAAGGUCUUCGGAUUGUAAACUUCUGUUAAGCGGGAAGAAAGACUGUAGGCUAAUACCCUGCAGGGAUGACGGUACCGCUAGAGAAAGCACCGGCUAACUUCGUGCCAGCAGCCGCGGUAAUACGAAGGGUGCGAGCGUUAUUCGGAAUGACUGGGCGUAAAGAGCGUGUAGGUGGCACUAUAAGUUGUUCGUUAAAGCCAACGGCUUACCCGUUGAUACGCGGACAAUACUGUAGGGCUUGAGUGCGAGAGAGAGGGGUGGAAUUCUAGGAGUAGCGGUAAAAUGCGUAGAUCUCUAGAGGAACACCGAUGGCGAAGGCAGCCCCUUGGCUCGUAACUGACACU
RNAcentral lists this ribosomal RNA (400 nucleotides) under uncultured bacterium. RNAcentral describes it as "bacterial SSU rRNA". It matches the Rfam family "Bacterial small subunit ribosomal RNA", at positions 355 to 747 of the family's 1533-position model. The record is from RNAcentral.